UMAGGAGACUCUGAGCAGCGAUGCCGCGUGAGUGAAGAAGGCCCUUGGGUUGUAAAGCUCUUUCGUCGGGGAAGAAAAUGACUGUACCCGAAUAAGAAGGUCCGGCUAACUUCGUGCCAGCAGCCGCGGUAAUACGAGGGGACCUAGCGUAGUUCGGAAUUACUGGGCUUAAAGAGUUCGUAGGUGGUUAAAAAAGUUGGUGGUGAAAUCCCAGAGCUUAACUCUGGAACUGCCAUCAAAACUUUUUAGCUAGAGUUUGAUAGAGGAAAGCAGAAUUUCUAGUGUAGAGGUGAAAUUCGUAGAUAUUAGAAAGAAUACCAAUUGCGAAGGCAGCUUUCUGGAUCAUUACUGACACUGAGGAACGAAAGCAUGGGUAGCGAAGAGGAUUAGAUACCCUCGUAGUCCAUGCCGUAAACGAUGUGUGUUAGAUGUUGGAAAUUUAUUUUCAGUAUCACAGCGAAAGCAAUAAACACACCGCCUGGGGAGUACGACCGCAAGGUUAAAACUCAAAUGAAUUGACGGGGACCCGCACAAGUAGUGGAGCAUGUGGUUUAAUUCGAAGAUACGCGCAGAACCUUACCAACACUUGACAUGUUCGUCGCGACUCUAAGAGAUUAGAGUUUUCGGUUCGGCCGGACGAAACACAGGUGCUGCAUGGCUGUCGUCAGCUCGUGUCGUGAGAUGUUGGGUUAAGUCCCGCAACGAGCGCAACCCUCACUUUUAGUUGCCAUCAUUUAGUUGGGCACUCUGAAAGAACUGCCAGUGAUAAGCUGGAGGAAGGUGGGAUGA
Molecule: ribosomal RNA, 789 nt
Filed under: uncultured Pelagibacterales bacterium
Lineage: Bacteria; Pseudomonadati; Pseudomonadota; Alphaproteobacteria; Candidatus Pelagibacterales
Description: bacterial SSU rRNA
Rfam family: Bacterial small subunit ribosomal RNA
Source: RNAcentral